Molecule: long non-coding RNA, 1235 nt
Filed under: Nicotiana benthamiana
Lineage: Eukaryota; Viridiplantae; Streptophyta; Magnoliopsida; Solanales; Solanaceae
Description: long non-coding RNA (NBEN_LNC040411)
Source: RNAcentral
AACCUCCUCAAUCCCCAGAUUCCAGCUACAAUAACUUGCACCUUGGAGCUGAGGACUACGCAAAGGAGCCGCCUGUGGUACCACCCCAUCUACAGAUGACUUUGCUUAAUGUCCCUUCAUCUCACAUGGAAAUUCCACCACCACUUUCGAGGCCUCAGCACGUGGUGCAGUGCCACCCCAUCUACAGAUGACUUUGCUUAAUGUCCCUUCAUCUCACAUGGAAAUUCCACCGCCGCUUUCGAGGCCUCAGCACGUGGUGCUUAACCAUCUCUACAUGCAGAAAGGAAGAAGUACUCCUUCUGUGGUAGCACUUGGUUCAACUAACCGGUUUCUGUCCAAAUACGUGACAGUGGUUCUUUACAAGUCAAUACAGAGGCGAAAGUUCGCAGACCUGUCUUUAUGAUAGUCUUAAAUAACUCAAAUAUUAGUAGCAACAUAGACAAUGUCGGGGGUUCGAGCCGUAGAAACAGCCUCCCGUAGAAAUGCAGGGUCAGGCUGCGUACAAUAGACCCUUGUGGUCCGGCCCUUCCCUGGACCCUGGACAGCGGAAGCUUAGUGCAUCGGGCUGCCCACUAGUAGCAACAUAUUAGAAGUCAAGCAUGUGGCUCAUGGAUACUGCAGUUAAAAGCAAAAGGCAGUAGAGGUAAUGCUUAGAAGUUUUAAUUGUAGCAAAUUUUGACUGUUACUUCCUCCAUUUACUUUGCAUCUUUCUCAUUUGGCCCUUCUUUCUUUAACACACAAUUGUUCUCUUUCUCUUGUUUUUUCAUAAUCUUAUGGAUUUAGCUUUGCAACAAUCAAUAGAUGUUGCUCUACAUGGCCAAACUGGAAAAAAGAAAUAUUUGAAAAAGGAGGCUCGAGUGAAUAUAGCAUGGGCCAGUUGUAUAGCCAACGUUUGUUAAGUCACUAAAAAAAUAGUCAUUAUUUUGCUGAAAUACGGAAAGUUCAAGCAUAAAUAUGCUGGAUUAUGGAGUUCCUGAAUAUAAACUUCCAGCAUAUUAUGUUGGAUUUUCAGCACACGGAAAGUUCCAACAUAAUAUGCUGGGUUAUGGAGCUCUUAUAUAUAAACUUCUCGCAUAUUAUGUUUGGAACUCCUAACACAUUAUGUUGGAAGCACAUAUGUAACAAAUUUUAUCCACAGUAUAUUAUGCUAGAAUAUUUCUAGAUUAAGGGUGUUUUUGUUUAGAUUAUGUUUACAUGAAGCAUUGGCUAAAUUUCGAUUAUUUUAAAAUUGGUGG